UACGUAGGUGGCAAGCGUUGUCCGGAAUUAUUGGGCGUAAAGCGCGCGCAGGUGGUUUAAUAAGUCUGAUGUGAAAGCCCACGGCUCAACCGUGGAGGGUCAUUGGAAACUGUUAAACUUGAGUGCAGGAGAGAAAAGUGGAAUUCCUAGUGUAGCGGUGAAAUGCGUAGAGAUUAGGAGGAACACCAGUGGCGAAGGCGGCUUUUUGGCCUGUAACUGACACUGAGGCGCGAAAGCGUGGGGAGCAAACAGGAUUAGAUA
RNAcentral lists this ribosomal RNA (261 nucleotides) under uncultured Caryophanales bacterium. RNAcentral's name for it is "uncultured Bacillales bacterium partial 16S ribosomal RNA". It matches the Rfam family "Bacterial small subunit ribosomal RNA", at positions 524 to 784 of the family's 1533-position model. Lineage: Bacteria; Bacillati; Bacillota; Bacilli; Caryophanales. The record is from RNAcentral.